AUAAUAUCCAAAUAUGAAGAUCGAUCAUAUGUAAUUCCUCAACUCCCUUAGAGCGCCUAAAAAUGUAUCUAAAAGAAAAUAAGUAUGAAACACAACGAAAAAUUAAAAUCGUGCAAUAAUCGUGCGAAAGGCUUUUAUGCCCAAAAUUGUUCAGAAAGAAAGUCUGAUGUUUUAAGCUCCAAAAUCCUUUAUAACUUACACUUAACACUAUGAAAAUUAAAAGCAACGCAAGUUUUAAAUGUUUCUUUGUUUGAGUAAGUUUAAAACAUUGGAUUCAAGAUUUUCAAAAUCAUUUCCAUUUAAAAACCUGUUAAAACAAUGCUUUCUUAUUUUAAAGCUUUACUCCAGCGAAAAUCAUUUUUGAAGCAAAACAUAAAAUUUCAAAAGCAUUAGGCUUCGAGUGCUCCCUCUUAUAAACUGCUAAAACAACUUAGCACACAAUUAAUCACAUCAGGCAGCAAUAACAACUGCCCAAAUAAUAUCCAGAAUAUGAAGGUCAUCUUAUGUAAUUCCAUCAACUUCCUUAGAGCACCUAAAAAUGUAUCUAAAAGAAAAUAAGUAUGAAACAACGAAAAAUUAAAAUCGCUGCCAAUAUUGUGCGAAUGGCCUUUAAGCCCAUAAUUGGUGUCAGAAACCAAAGAUCUAAUGGCUUUAAGGCCCAAAUCCUUUAUAACAUACGCUUAACCACUUAAUUGAAAAAUUAAAACCAACGCAAGUUUGCCAUGUUUCUUUGUUUGAGCAAGUUUAAAACAUUUUGGAUUCAAGAUUUUCAAUAUUUCAUUUCCAUUUAUUUUAAACUUUACUCCUGAAAAAAGUUUUCAAUCAAAAUAUUAAAAUUUCAUAGCAUUAGCUUCGAGUGCUUCAUGAAAAUUUUAGAAAGUUUUAUAUUUCUUUGUUUAACGGACUUGGAUCAAACUUUCAAAACAUUUCCUUUAAAACUUGUUGAACCAAUCUCUAAAAAUAUUUUAAAAGCAAAAAUUUCGAACAAACAUAAAAUUUCAAGGCUUCGAGUGCUCCUCUUAUAAACUGCUAAAACAACUUAGCACAAAAUUAAUCACAUCAGGCAGCAACACAACUGCCCAAAUAAUAUCCGAAUAUGAAGGUCAUCCUUAUGUAAUGCGUCACCAACUUCCUUAGAGCACGUGAAAAUGUAUCUAAAAAGAAAAUAAGUACGAAACGCAACGAAAAAUUAAAAUCAUACAAUAAUUGUGGGAAUAGUUUUUAUGCCCAAAAUUGUUCAGAAGCAAAGUCUGAUGUUUUAAGCUCCAAAAUCCUUUAUAACUUACACUUAACACUGUGAAGAAUUAAAACCAACACAAGUUUUAUAUGUUUCUUUGUUUGAGCAAGUUUAAAACAUUUGAUUCAAGAUUUUCAAAAUCAUUUCCAUUUAAAAACCUGUGAAAACAAUGCUUAUUUUAAAGCUUUACUCGAACGAAAAUCGUUUUCAAAUCAAAUAUAAAAUUUCAAAAGCAUUAGCUUCGAGUGCUCCUCUUAUAAACUGCUAAAAACAACUUAGCACACAAUAAUCACAUCAGGCAGCAACACAACUGCCAAAUACUAUCCGAAAUAUGAAGGUCAUCCUAUGUAAUUCGUCAUCAACUUCCUUAGAGCGCUUAAAAAUGUAUCUAAAAGGAAAAUAAUGUAUGAAACCAACGAAAAAUUAAAAUCAUACAAUAAUCGUGCAGAAUGGUUUUAUGCCCAAAAUUGUUCCAGAAGCAAAGUCUGAUGUUUUUAAGCACCAAAUCCUUUAUAACUUACACUUAACACUGUGAAGAAUUAAAAUCAAGGCAAGUUUUAUAUGUUUCUUUGUUUGAGCAAGUUUCAAAACAUUGGAUUCAAGAUUUUCAAAAUCAUUUCCAUUUAAAAACCUGUUAAAACAUGCUUUCUAUUUUAAAGCUUUACUCCAGCGAAUUUCCUUUUUGAAGCAAACAUAAAAUUUCAAAAAGCAUUAGGCUUCGAGUGCUCCUCUUAUAAACUGCUAAAACAAGUUAGCACACAAUUAAUCACAUCAAGCACCAAUAAAAACUGCACAAAUAAUAUCCAACUAUCAAGAUCAUUCUCAUGUAAUCCACAAGUUCCUUAGAGCACCUAAAACUGUAUCUAAAAGAAAAUAAGUACGAAAGACAAUAAAAAAAAAUCAUGCGAAAAUGUUUUUAUGUCACAAUUUGAAAUUCUGUGAAUGGCAUUUAUGUGCAUAAUUGUUCAAAAACUAAGUCUGAUGUUUUAAGCUCUAAAAUCCUUUAUAACUUCCAGUUAACGCUGUGACAUAUUAAAACAAUGCAAGUUCCACAAUGUUUCUUUGUUUGAAAAAGUUUAAGACAUUGGAUUCAGAUAUUCGAAUUCAUUUCCAUUUAAAAACCUGCUAAAACAAUGCUUUCAUAUUUUAAAGCUCGACUGCAGCGAAAAUCAUUUUCAAAGCAAAACAUAAAACUACAAAAACAUUAGGCUUCGAGUGCUCCCCCUAUAUACUGCUAAAACAAGUUAGUAAAUAAUUAAUCACAUCGAGCGCCAAUAACAACUUCACAAAUAAUAUCAAAAUAUCAAUAUCAUUCAUAUGUAAUUCUUCAACAUCCUUUGAGCACCUAAAAAUGUAUCUAAAAGCAAAUAAGUACGAAACAUAACGAAAAAUUAAAAUCAUGUAGUAAUUUUGCGAAUGGCUUUUAUGCCCAGAAUUGUUCAGAAACAAAGUCUGAUGUUUUAAGCUUGAAAAUCUUUUAUAGGCAAUUCAAAUUUUAUCAUGCUUCUUUGCUUGAGCAAGUUGAAAACGUUGUAUUCAAGAUAUUCAAAUGCAUUUCCAUUUAAAAACCUGCUAAAAGAUUGCUUUCAUAUUUUAAAGCUUGGCUCCGGUGAAAAUCAUUUUCAAAGCAAAACAUAAAAUUUCAAAAGCAUUAAGCGUCAAGUGCUCCUUUUAUAAACUGCUAAAACAAUUUAGCACACAUUAAUUACAUCUAGCACCAGUACAACUUCCCAAUAAUAUCCAAAUAUGAAGGUCAUCCCCAUGUAAAUCUCAUCAACUUCCUUAGAGCACCUAAAAAGUAUCUAAAAGGAAAUAAGUAUGAAAACACAACGAAAAAUUAAAAUCGUGCA
Molecule: long non-coding RNA, 3087 nt
Filed under: Durio zibethinus
Lineage: Eukaryota; Viridiplantae; Streptophyta; Magnoliopsida; Malvales; Malvaceae
Description: long non-coding RNA (DZIB_LNC000601)
Source: RNAcentral